AAGCUCCCUUGCUUCUGUAUUGAAAGACACAAUUUUUCAAUAUAACUGGAUUGUGAAGGCUUUUAAUUUUAGCUGAAUUCCACUUUUUCUUCAACUUGUGUCAUAGUGAUAUAGCUUCUAUGCAGUCCAAAGUCAUUAUCGGAUCCAAAUCAUCCAAUGAUUGCACAUUGGUGCUGCUAUUGAUAAGUCUCUUGCAUAAUUUCAUCACAGAAGUUAUUGGAUGUUACCUUCAAGUAAUUCUUUUCUUCCUAAAUCCCCCCUCCUACUGCUACUUUUUUUGGGAGGGGUUUGUUGGUUAAGAGAUUUGGUUAUCUUACUCUUGAGAAUGCACUCAUGAAAUGGCGUUAGGGUUUGUUGGUUAAGAUAUAUAGUUAUUCUUACUCUCCAGAAUGCACUCAUGAAAUGGUGGUAAUGCUUCAUUAUCAGAUUGGUCCAAAGCAGAUUGAGGCACUAUAUCAGUAUGCCAAAUUUCAGUUUGAAUGUGGAAACUACUCUGGUGCAGCUGACUACCUGUAUCAAUACAGGGCCUUGUGCACUAACAGUGAAAGGAGUCUGAGUGCACUGUGGGGGAAGUUGGCAGCUGAGAUAUUGAUGCAAAACUGGGAUAUUGCUCUUGAAGAACUUAAUAGGUUGAAAGAAAUAAUUGAUUCAAAGGUGGUUUUAUUGUAUCUACUUUUCCCCGUUUCAUGAUGUAAUAUUUUUGUUGUUUUAGAAUAGAUAUGCUUACUGGCUGUGAUUUUACGUUUCAGAGUUUCUCGUCACCAUUGAAUCAGAUGCAAAGUCGAAUAUGGUUGAUGCAUUGGAGUCUUUUCAUCUUUUUCAAUCAUGACAAUGGAAGAACACAGAUUAUUGAUUUGUUUAAUCUGGACAAGUAUGAGUUAUCCUUUUCUUUUCUCUGUGUUUUAGUAUGUGUUGAAUUUCUCUGACUUGAUUCAUCUCUUAAACCAUUUCUUGAGUGUCUUUUUGCUAGUGGGCAAUAGUCCAUUUCUUGAAUAUGAUCUGACUGGCACCACACAGUGUACUUAAUGGAUAUUCCCCUUAUAAGAGAGGAAAAAAUGCAAUUAUAAAUUCUGUGCAUGUCUAACUUUACUGCUCUGGUAUGUUGUAUGAUAAUUGAUAAAUUUUUCAAAUAUUUUUUGCUGGAUCUUAGCUGUUUUUUAUUUUUUUUGCCUUAUCUAUGGUGGAAGAGAUAUUAGUGGAGAUUAUUUAAGCUGUCCUAUGCUUCAAACCAUGCAGCAGUGUGAUGUUGAGCAAGACCACAUAAUAUUUAAUUUUAUGUAUCAUUUAAACCUUUUGCUGUUUAUUAUACUUAAUUUCUUAUAUUUUUUCUAUAAUCUUUUUCAGGUAUCUCAAUGCCAUUCAAACCAAUGCUCCCCAUCUUUUGAGGUACCUAUCAACUGCAUUUAUUGUCAACAAAAGGAGACGACCCCAAUUCAAAGACUUUAUAAAAGUGCUACAGCAAGAGCAGCAAUCAUAUAAAGAUCCCAUCACAGAGUUUUUAGCAUGUGUGUACGUUAAUUAUGAUUUUGAUGGGGCACAAAAGAAGAUGAGAGAGUGUGAAGAGGUAAGCUUUCUAUACCCUAAUGUGAUUGUUUGGCUAACAAAAACAUUUAAGUUAUUAUCCUCUCUGAAAGGCUGCAAAUUUUCCCAGAUGACCUUUACUCUCUCUCUCUCUCUCUCUCUCUCUCUCUCUCUCGUUUUCCUUUUUUUUUUUUCCUNNNNNNNNNNNNNNNNNNNNNNNNNNNNNNNNNNNNNNNNNNNNNNNNNNNNNNNNNNNNNNNNNNNNNNNUCUUAGCAAAGAGCUUUUUUUGUUUUUUUUUCCUGUUUGGUCUUCUUUUUUUCACUUCUCAUUUUUUUCCCAAAUUCUUUUAAUGUGGAUUGGGGGCAGGGCAGGGGGGGCUUUGAGGGUGAGGGUGUGUGCAAGGUUGUAGCUUGUGUUACUGGUAGAUGUAAUCGGUAGUUCUUCUGAGCUGAGUCAUUUUUGUAUGUUAUAUAUCUUGUUGCUACGUUAUAGGUGAUUUUAAAUGAUCCAUUCCUUGGAAAACGAGUUGAAGACAGCAACUUUUCUACUGUGCCUAUGAGAGAUGAGUUCCUUGAAAAUGCUCGCCUAUUUAUCUUUGAGACUUAUUGCCGUAUACAUCAACGUAUUAACAUGGGGUAAGUGCAUACUGGAUGCUUUUAGUGAAUUGUUGCUUCACAAAUGAAAACAUUUGACAAUUCUCCAUUUGGAAUGAAGAAUUUUAUUCAAUUUAAUUGAUUUUAAUUGUCUUGAUUGAAAAGAAAGAAAUUCAGUUCUUUUUAACUUGAAAAUUUUCAUUCAAAAGAAGUUGAAAUCAUGCAUGAUUUUGUAAAGAUUUAUUUGAAUUUUUUCUUGCAAAUCAUGCCAAACAAAGGGUUAGGGAAUUGGGACAAUUUUAUGGUUCCUUUCCUUUAUUUUGCUAAAUGAAUUAAUUAACUGUUCAUCGCAGAGUCCUUGCUGAGAAAUUGAACCUGAAUUAUGAGGAGGCUGAGAGAUGGAUUGUAAAUCUUAUUAGAAACUCAAAGCUUGACGCAAAGAUUGAUUCGCAAUCAGGAACUGUUAUCAUGGAGCCUAAUCAGCCCAAUGUGUAAGAUUACAGAUAGAUUUGUAAAUAAUAGCACUUGUUUUCUUCUAGUCUUUUUCAGUGCCUUCUAUCUUGCUCUUAUUUUCUCCUGUUAUAAUUCUUUUGUACUCUAUCUAUGUUUUGGAAAUUUCCCUCAAUUCAGGUAUGAACAGUUGAUAGAUCACACCAAGGCAAUAUCGGGGCGUACUUACAAGUUAGUCGGUCAACUUUUAGAACAUGCACAGGCACAAGCUGCACGAUGAAGUUAUUCCUGAAGUUCGCAGGAUUUAUUGUUGUCAUUUUUUGUUAUUUGGAAUCUGUUUGCUGCUGCAGAUAAUUGUAGUGAUAAUCCUUUUUUGGUGGGUUAAUCUAGUAGAACAGAGGUUGAGAAAUUAUUGAUUAUGAGAAACAUGGUUUAUUUUUAAAUUCCAAAGCAUCUUUUUUAGCAUAUGUGAAGGUUAAAGUUGAUUUUGCGUUGAGAGAGCUACUGCUUUGAGGGAAUUCAUUUUGUUAGUGUAAAUUAUUGGUUAGAUGUGUUUAAAACUGAAAGCAUUGUUACAACAUUGUUUUGUUUUGUUGUCUAGAUUAACGAAAAUACCACAAAUGCUUUGGACUGGUGUUUUAGUGCUAACAAGUUGUACUCUUUGUUUGGGCACUUAGAUAAUGCAAGGGAAAUAAAGAGAAAUUGUACAGGGGAAAUGAUGAGAAAGGAAAGAACAGGAAAUCUUUUGAAGAGAAAUAUAUUUCUUCAGAAAAAAAGGAAAUAUUGUUAUAUAUAUAUAUAUAUAUAUAUAUAUAUUUCUAAGGGCAUUUAAGUAAUUUAUCAUAAAAAUACAAAUAAAUUUUAAAUUUACCUCUAUUUUUUUUCAAAGUUUACCAAUUGAACCCAUAGCUUUUAGUAUUGUGAAAUUUUAUAUAUAACAUGUUAUAUUCUUAUACCAACUUCGGUUCUUACUGAGUUUACUAGUGCUAAUAAUAUUUAAUAUCAUGUGUCAGAUUAACUGAAUAUGUAUAUGUAUGAUUCUGUGUCAUUUCAUGUCAAUUAAGCAAACGUAUCAAAAUAUCUAUAUUAGAACCUUUGCAACUUCAUGUAUAAGGUAUUCUAUUAGUAACAUAAAAAUUUAAUACACCGUUCUAAUGCCUUGGCAUUUUCAAUGGUACAUCAAAUAAAUUCAGAAUAAAAAUUUUGAGUUCCAAGAAGACAUAUAAAGGUCAUUUAUAUUUACCUCCUAGUGUACAGAAAUUUGGAUUAAUAAGUCAGCACGGGUAUAAAGCUAGCAUGUGUGUAAUCUUUACCAAAAAAGCGAGCAUGUUAACUCUUUGCAAUUUGUUGUCAAUUAGGCUGCAUUCUGCUUGAUUUUGUCUUAAAUUUUCAAGUAUCUUAUAAAUAUAAGAAGACUUAUUUUUCCUUAUAAAAAUUUUAUAUUUUUAUCUUAAUUUUCCAACAAGACAUAGUAAACCUAAUUUUAAUCACUCUAGACUAAAAUAUGAAAUUUUCUUUACAAGCUACUCAAACAAGUACUUACUACUCCAAAUUUAAUGUUGGUAUUUAACUCGUUAAAAGAAUUUGAUUUUCAUAAAAACGCAUACAAGAAUUGGAUUUUUUUUUCUUCUACAAAAUGUUAUGUCAUUUUUUAGGGUUUAUUUGGCACUAAUUUGUUUAAUUUCAGUAAGUAAAACUUUAGUUAUAACACAAGUAAUACAGAUUGUUUCAGAUGUACUAAUCCUGCUAAACUUUAGGAUUUAUAUUUUUCAUUAUUUUAAAUCUAAAAUCAUAUAUCGAUUUCCUCAUCAAGGUUUUAUUCUUUUAUCGUAACUUUUUUUUGGUUCAUGUUGUACUUCAUUUGAACAAAUACAUAAUAAAUUACAACCUUCUAAAUAUAGAUUGUCAAAUUAGAGUUUCAAUUUACCUAAGUUUAAAUCAAAAUCUCUAUGCUUACCUAUUUUUUUUAAACCUUCCAUAAUUCAUUCCAUCAUUCAUUUAACUCAUUUAAACAUUCAGAAUAAUAUUUCCAGCCUCUAAAAUCAAACUCUAAAUAUAAUCAAAGAAAAAUCAAUGAAAAAUUGAAAACACCAUUAGACCAAAUCUUUUCAACAAAGUUAUUUAGUUCACCAUUUUUACUCGUUUGCCACUUCCUUUUCCUUUGAAGUUCUUUCAUCUAUGUUAAUUUCGAUUUUAGCAACCGAUUGAAGAACAUUAAAACUAGUCAAAUUAAUACAUGAAAAGAUGGAGUUUCCUAUAUAUACUUUUUUCAAUUUCCUUUGACUUCCAAAUUAAGACAACUUGGAAUCCUAACUUUUAGAACUUGAAAUCUUCCGAUGUAUGACUCUUCUUUAGUUGUUUGUCUUAGGAAAGGGGUGUUGAUAAGUUGUAAAACUCAAUUUUUUUUAUUUAAUUUCAUAUUUUUGCUAUAAUUUUAAUAUAAAUAUUUAAUUUUACUUAGAAUUUAAGUUGAGACAUAUUUUUGAGCAGAAAUUGAGAAAAUAAAUGAAAAAAGACUGAAUUAAAAUAUUUUUAUACCGGAACCUGUGGCCCAAGGCGGAAGUUUCAAAAAGCGCCACCUCAGCAAAUUUUGCCACCUAAACAAUGAUAACAUAAGUUUCAAAUUGGAUCAAAUAUAAUCAGAUUAGGACAGGGAUAAGAUAAAAAUAGUAGAAUUUAUUUUAAAUUUUUAAAUUUUAUCUUUUUGUACCUAUACAAGACUCCUAGAAUUAAAUGUAGGAUCAUAUUUUUUUUUCCCUUUCUCCCUCCUCUCCUCUCCUCUCCUCUCUUGUUGCCGCCCUCCAUCUUCUUCUUUUCUUUUUCUUUUUGUAAUUUUAUUAUGGCGAGGCUAAACAAUUAUUUUCAGUUGAAAUUUAAUUUGAAUUGAGGUUUUAUUCAAGUUGUGGGGUUAUGUGCUUCAAUUAUUUUCAUUUUAUUUCUGUUUUCUGUUAAUUUCUGAAUUCGAGAAACACCACCUCCAUUGUUGUUUUCUUGAGAAUUCAAGAGAUCCAUUGAAUUUCUUCGGAAAACUACAUAUUGCUAAUUAAUCUAAUUAAAUUUGUAAUUAUUUAAUUGGGUUAAUAACAAGUAGCAAUUAAUCUAUCAAAGAAUGAGUAGAUUUGAUUUAAAUAAAACUGUGUGUUUUUAUUAAUCAAGUUUAAAUUCUUCUCAUGCUGUUGACCAAUUAAAUUUACAUGCGUGUUGGGUUUAUUAGUUAAUUAAGAAUUAAUUUGCGAAUUCAUAAGAAAGAAUUGGUGGGAUUGGCGUGUUUUACUCCUAUAACCAAAUAAUAGAUAAUAACAUGGAUUUCUUUUAACUGUAAAAUACCGAUUACCUUCAGCUGAAAGUUUUAAUUAAUUAUUUGUUUAUCAAAUUUCGCAUUAUUUAUUAUUUUUCUUUUAAGUUACAAAACUACUUUUAUAAAAAAAAAAUUCUUCUUCUCAUUUUUUGUAUUAAACUACUCUUAUUUUUUAAAUUGGUCAUCUAAAUUAAAUAUGAUUAAGGUUUAUGCGAGAUUAAUACUCAUUUAUCCUAUCUACAAGUUCGGAAUUUUAAAUUAACGGAUUCGCCACUCAUCAAAUUUGAUGGAUAAAGUUUUGAAUUUCAUGAAGAAAUUGACAUAAAUUUGAUGAAUUCGACAUUCGUCAAAUUUGAUCGAAUAAAGUUUUAGAUUUCAUGGAGAAAUUGACAUAAAUUUGAUGGAAAAUGAAGAAAGCUCACAUCGUUUUUCUACGGAGGAACUUUGAAGACAACUUUUGUUUUUAGCUUAUUCAUAUUUUUAAGUGCAUUUGAAAGACAAAUGGUGGCUAGGAUAUAUUCUUACUUUAUUUUAAAUAUUAGGAUUUAAUUUAACUUAUUAACUUUCCAAAACUAUUAUUUAACCUGCUAAAGUCUUAACUAUAUUUCAAUUUAAUUUUAAGAGUUUAUCAUUUAGAUAAGCACGUCGAAUUUGGUAAGCAACUCAAGAUAGCACAUUGGGAAACCUCAAAAUACCUUCAUAACGUAACAUGCUCCAACUCACUCUCUAUUUCGAGUUUUUUUAUGGAUUGCUUAUUAAAAUUUGAAUUAUUAGAAUAUUAUUAUUUUAUUUUAUCUCGUUCUCAAUAUAUUUAACUUUAUAUACAAUAUAAAGUAAAACGUGUAAACAUAAUUUAAAAUGCUCUUCUACAAGUGGAUUUUAUAAAAUAUAGUUCGGAAUUAAAUUGACUCGUUGAAAUCAAUUUAACACCUCCCCUGAAACUACUUAUCCUAACUCUGAAAAAGACUAAUGGUGCCCCAUUCCUGAAAGGUGUCCAUUCCUAUCUCAGAGUUUUAGAAUGUGAUAUAAUUUAUGGUAAGGUAUAUAAUCCGACAAUAAUUUUAUUCAUAAAAUUACUAUCUAGUCCAUGUAGUAUAAAAAAAACUUAUUAGUUGAUUUCUCAAAUUCAAUUAAUUUUAAAUUUUAAAUUAAUGUAUUCCUUAAAUACCAAUUUAUAUCAAGAUAUUUAUAAUAAUUUUGUAUUAAAUAAUUUCUCUACUAUAUAAAUUUGGAAACUUUAAUUCCUAAAUUUCUUAAAAACUAAUUUAUAUCAAAAUAUUUUAUAAGUCUUAUAUUAAAUUUUUUUCUCAAUUAUACUAAAAUAAGUAAUUUUGAUACAAAUUAAUAAAUUAUCUUCCAAAAUUUUUAUAUAUUUUUAUUGAAUAUAUUACAAUUGGUUGGUGUAUGGAAAAAACACAAAUACUUAUACUAAUAUUAACAUAACAGAAAAAAUUAUAUAAUACAAUAUUGCUGUAAAAUGUGAAAUAAUUAUUAGCUCAUAAAAUUUUAUUUUGUUAAUAAAAUAAUUAUUCUAUUAAAAUUCACGGUGGAUUAUAAUAAUGCAGUUUCUCAAAUUUUAACUUUUAAUUCAAAAAAUUAUAUUAUUAUAAUCGAAUAAUAAAUUUUAACAGAAUAACUAUUUUAUUAACCGGAUAAUACUUUAAAAAUACAAUUAUUUCACAUUUUAUGGUAACAUCGUAUUAAAUAUUUUCUCUAUCAUUUAUUAAUUAUAAUAUAUUUUAAAAAAAUUAUAUAAAUUUUAAAAAAAUAAUUUGUUAAUUGUAUCAAAAUUUCUUAUUUUAAUAUAGUUAAAAAAAUAUUUAAUCUGAGACUAUUAUAAAAUAUAUAAUAUAAAUUCACGUUUAAGAAAUUUAGGAAUUAAGAUUUUAUAUAGUAAGAGAAAUUAUUUAAUAUAAAAUUAUUAUAAAAUUUUGAUAUAAAUUGAUGUUUGAAAAUUUUAGUUAUCAAGGAUUAAAAUUAAUUAAAAUUAAUGAGUUUUUUAGUGUAAAAAGUAAAUAAUAAUUUUCUUUGUAAAUUUAUAAUUUUCUCAAAUUAUAUCCCUAUCGCAUCUAAGGGUACAUAUAUUAAUAUAUUAUAUUAGGUAAAUUAUCAUGAAAUUUAAUUUAAUUAAUUAAAAUAUUACUGUAUUUUUAAAAUUAUAUUAAAAAAAUUCUUAUAAUUUAAUUCCAUUAAUUAGCAAGGAUGUCUUCUAUUUAGCCACUAUUCUUCCAUUAGUUAUUAUGAAAAAAAAAACUUAAUUACCCUCAUUUAAUUAGAAAAAAAUAAUAAUACAAAUAAAUCCCAAAACCUUAAAACUUAAAACAUAGAAAAAAUUUUCCUAAUGCUUUCAUAGUUGCCAUUUUUUUAAUUUUUUAAAAAAAUUUAACUACUUAAAAAGAUAUUUUUUUAUUAAAAAAAAUAAAAAUUUUAGUGGUUAAUUAAGAACUAUUUUAUUAAAAAAUUUAAUGAGUGACGUUAGUUUUGUAAUAUGUAAAUUCCCGUGUAAUUUAUCUAAAAUUUAGAAGGGAUGGCUUUUAUAUUGGCUCCAACGAACUCCAUGACUACCUAAAAAACCCUAAUUCUGUCUCUCUCCUUUCCGCACCUUCAAUACACAGGAAAUACGAACAUCAGCACCACCCCAGAGCAACAAUGGCUACUUACGAUCUAACUCCGAGAAUUGCACCGAAUCUGGACAGGCACCUGGUAUUCCCUCUCUUGGAGUUUCUCCAAGAACGACAGCUAUACCCAGAGGAUCAGAUCUUCAAGUCCAAAAUCGAGCUCUUGAGCAAAACUAACAUGGUCGAUUACGCCAUGGAUAUCCACAAGAGCCUCUACCACACUGAAGACGUCCCUCAAGGUAACUACAAAUUUCAUCUUUUCUGACCUUGGGCGCUCUAUAUAUGAUGCUUAUGUGAUGUGUCUGGGUGGGUUUUUGUUAGAUAUGAUUGAGAGGAGAGCGGAAGUGGUAGCGAGAUUGAAGGCCCUAGAGGAGGGGGCGGCCCCUCUUGUGGCGUUUUUGCAGAAUGCGAACGCUGUGCAGGAGUUGCGAGCGGACAAACAGUACAAUCUUCAGAUGCUUAAUGACCGCUUCCAGGUUUUCAAUUUCAAUUUAUGCUUUAGUAAUGGGUGAUUGUAAUGUAAUUUAGAAUUGGUAUGAGUGUUGUUUCUUGCUCCUAAACCUACUUUGGUUUAAUCUUGUUUGAGUUUUUGAAGUGUGUUAUGCAACUGGCAUUAUUGUAAUUGAAGUGUUAUGCUAAUUCAGGCGUCAUAUUUAUUGGGAUGAAAUGAUGUGGUGUUAUUGUUGAGUUCAAAAGAAAUUGCUGAAUCCAAAAGCUCCCUUGCGUCUGUAUUGAAAGACUCAAUUUUUCAAUACAAGUGGAUUGUGAAAGCUUUUAAUUUUACCUGAAUUCCACUUUUUCUUCAACUUGUGUCAUAGUGAUAUAGCUUCUAUGCAUUCCAAAGUCAUUAUUAGAUCCAAAUCAUCCAAUGAUUGCACAUUGGUGUUGCUAUUGAUAAGUCUCUUGCAUAAUUUCAUCAUAGAAGUUCUUGGACGUUACCUUCAAGUAAUUCUUUUCUUCCUAACCCCCUCCUACUGCUACUUUUUUUGGGAGGGUUUUGUUGGUUAAGAGAUUUAGUUAUCUUACUCUUGAGAAUGCACUCAUGAAAUGGCAUAAGGGUUUGUUGGUUAAGAGAUAUAGUUAUUCAUACUCUCCAAUGCACUCAUGAAAUGGUGGUAAUGCUUCAUUAUCAGAUUG
RNAcentral lists this long non-coding RNA (9618 nucleotides) under Manihot esculenta (cassava). RNAcentral describes it as "long non-coding RNA (MESC_LNC005133)". The record is from RNAcentral. Lineage: Eukaryota; Viridiplantae; Streptophyta; Magnoliopsida; Malpighiales; Euphorbiaceae.